GAGCUUGCUCCACCGGAAAAAGAAGAGUGGCGAACGGGUGAGUAACACGUGGGUAACCUGCCCAUCAGAAGGGGAUAACACUUGGAAACAGGUGCUAAUACCGUAUAACAAUCAAAACCGCAUGGUUUUGAUUUGAAAGGCGCUUUCGGGUGUCGCUGAUGGAUGGACCCGCGGUGCAUUAGCUAGUUGGUGAGGUAACGGCUCACCAAGGCCACGAUGCAUAGCCGACCUGAGAGGGUGAUCGGCCACAUUGGGACUGAGACACGGCCCAAACUCCUACGGGAGGCAGCAGUAGGGAAUCUUCGGCAAUGGACGAAAGUCUGACCGAGCAACGCCGCGUGAGUGAAGAAGGUUUUCGGAUCGUAAAACUCUGUUGUUAGAGAAGAACAAGGAUGAGAGUAACUGUUCAUCCCUUGACGGUAUCUAACCAGAAAGCCACGGCUAACUACGUGCCAGCAGCCGCGGUAAUACGUAGGUGGCAAGCGUUGUCCGGAUUUAUUGGGCGUAAAGCGAGCGCAGGCGGUUUCUUAAGUCUGAUGUGAAAGCCCCCGGCUCAACCGGGGAGGGUCAUUGGAAACUGGGAGACUUGAGUGCAGAAGAGGAGAGUGGAAUUCCAUGUGUAGCGGUGAAAUGCGUAGAUAUAUGGAGGAACACCAGUGGCGAAGGCGGCUCUCUGGUCUGUAACUGACGCUGAGGCUCGAAAGCGUGGGGAGCAAACAGGAUUAGAUACCCUGGUAGUCCACGCCGUAAACGAUGAGUGCUAAGUGUUGGAGGGUUUCCGCCCUUCAGUGCUGCAGCUAACGCAUUAAGCACUCCGCCUGGGGAGUACGACCGCAAGGUUGAAACUCAAAGGAAUUGACGGGGGCCCGCACAAGCGGUGGAGCAUGUGGUUUAAUUCGAAGCAACGCGAAGAACCUUACCAGGUCUUGACAUCCUUUGACCACUCUAGAGAUAGAGCUUCCCCUUCGGGGGCAAAGUGACAGGUGGGUGCAUGGUUGUCGUCAGCUCGUGUCGUGAGAUGUUGGGUUAAGUCCCGCAACGAGCGCAACCCUUAUUGUUAGUUGCCAUCAUUCAGUUGGGCACUCUAGCAAGACUGCCGGUGACAAACCGGAGGAAGGUGGGGAUGACGUCAAAUCAUCAUGCCCCUUAU
This 1150-nucleotide ribosomal RNA is filed under the name Enterococcus faecium. RNAcentral's name for it is "bacterial SSU rRNA". It matches the Rfam family "Bacterial small subunit ribosomal RNA", at positions 76 to 1205 of the family's 1533-position model. Lineage: Bacteria; Bacillati; Bacillota; Bacilli; Lactobacillales; Enterococcaceae. The record is from RNAcentral.